This 507-nucleotide ribosomal RNA is filed under the name Fusarium sp. ca_besc_0201e. RNAcentral describes it as "eukaryotic LSU rRNA". The stretch from base 152 to 305 matches the Rfam family "5.8S ribosomal RNA". Lineage: Eukaryota; Fungi; Ascomycota; Sordariomycetes; Hypocreales; Nectriaceae. The record is from RNAcentral.
UUACCGAGUUUACAACUCCCAAACCCCUGUGAACAUACCACUUGUUGCCUCGGCGGAUCAGCCCGCUCCCGGUAAAACGGGACGGCCCGCCAGAGGACCCCUAAACUCUGUUUCUAUAUGUAACUUCUGAGUAAAACCAUAAAUAAAUCAAAACUUUCAACAACGGAUCUCUUGGUUCUGGCAUCGAUGAAGAACGCAGCAAAAUGCGAUAAGUAAUGUGAAUUGCAGAAUUCAGUGAAUCAUCGAAUCUUUGAACGCACAUUGCGCCCGCCAGUAUUCUGGCGGGCAUGCCUGUUCGAGCGUCAUUUCAACCCUCAAGCACAGCUUGGUGUUGGGACUCGCGUUAAUUCGCGUUCCUCAAAUUGAUUGGCGGUCACGUCGAGCUUCCAUAGCGUAGUAGUAAAACCCUCGUUACUGGUAAUCGUCGCGGCCACGCCGUUAAACCCCAACUUCUGAAUGUUGACCUCGGAUCAGGUAGGAAUACCCGCUGAACUUAAGCAUAUCAAA